AGGACGAACGCUGGCGGCGUGCUUAACACAUGCAAGUCGAGCGGAAAGGCCUUUCGGGGUACUCGAGCGGCGAACGGGUGAGUAACACGUGAGUAAUCUGCCCAUCGCUUCAGGAUAGCCGUCGGAAACGGUGAUUAAUACUGGAUAUGACAUUCCUUCGCAUGUUGGGGUGUGGAAAGUUUUUUCGGCGGUGGAUGUGCUCGCGGCCUAUCAGCUUGUGGUGGGUAAUGGCCUACCAAGGCUUUGACGGGUAGCCGGCCUGAGAGGGUCGACCGGCCACGACGUGGGACUGAGACACGGCCCAGCUCGACGGAGCAGCAGUGGGAAUGUGGACAGUGGGACGGAAGCC
RNAcentral lists this ribosomal RNA (349 nucleotides) under uncultured soil bacterium. Its description in RNAcentral is "bacterial SSU rRNA". It matches the Rfam family "Bacterial small subunit ribosomal RNA", at positions 26 to 383 of the family's 1533-position model. The record is from RNAcentral.